CCUUGACAUACUAAGAACUUUCCAGAGAUGGAUUGGUGCCUUCGGGAACUUAGAUACAGGUGCUGCAUGGCUGUCGUCAGCUCGUGUCGUGAGAUGUUGGGUUAAGUCCCGNAACGAGCGCAACCCUUUUCCUAUUUGCCAGCGGGUCAUGCCGGGAACUUUAAGGAUACUGCCAGUGACAAACUGGAGGAAGGCGGGGACGACGUCAAGUCAUCAUGGCCCUUACGGCCAGGGCUACACACGUGCUACAAUGGUCGGUACAAAGGGUUGCUACCUCGCGAGAGGAUGCUAAUCUCAAAAAGCCGAUCGUAGUCCGGAUCGCAGUCUGCAACUCGACUGCGUGAAGUCGGAAUCGCUAGUAAUCGCGGAUCAGAAUGCCGCGGUGAAUACGUUCCCGGGCCUUGUACACACCGCCCGUCACACCAUGGGAGUUUGUUGCACCAGAAGUAGGUAGUCUAACCGCAAGGAGGACGCUUACCACGGUGUGGCCGAUGACUGGGGUGAAGUCGUAACAAGGUAGGCGUAGAUGA
This 530-nucleotide ribosomal RNA is filed under the name uncultured bacterium. RNAcentral describes it as "bacterial SSU rRNA". It matches the Rfam family "Bacterial small subunit ribosomal RNA", at positions 979 to 1509 of the family's 1533-position model. The record is from RNAcentral.